RNAcentral lists this ribosomal RNA (1074 nucleotides) under Triticum aestivum (bread wheat). RNAcentral describes it as "partial small subunit ribosomal RNA". The record is from RNAcentral. Lineage: Eukaryota; Viridiplantae; Streptophyta; Magnoliopsida; Poales; Poaceae.
AUGUUCAAACCAGAGGUCCCGGAGAAGUACGACGGCAAGACCCACCCGUCUGAGUUCUUGAGCGUUUACACCAUCAUGAUGCAAGCUGCCGGAGCACGGGACGAGAAGGUACUCGCCAACUAUUUCCCAUUGGUGCUCAAGCCCAACGUCAGGUCAUGGUUGAUGCACUUGCCGAUAGAUUCCAUCUCUUCCUGGUCGGAUAUAUGCCACGAGUUUGUUGGUGCCUUUACAGGCGACAACGUAGUUCCUGACCAGGCAAGCGAUCUGCAUGUGAUCCCUCAGAGGGACGGCGAAUGCUUGCGCAAGUACAUACAAAGAUUCAGCCGUGUGCAAUACAACAUCCCCGAUGUCCAUCCCACUGUUGUCAUCAGCUUGUUCCAUCAGAAAGUGCGCAAUCGCGAGAUGCGUGAAGAGUUGGCGAUGAACAAGGUUGCAGAUAUUGCCGAACUAUAUGUUAUGGCCGACAGAUGUACCCGAGCUGAGGAAGGAAGAAAGUACCACGGCGAAGAUGCUGAUGUGGGAAGUGACUCUGAAGAUGAAGACGUCACCGCCCCAGCCAAGAAGGGCCAACGGCGCAACAGGAAACACAAAGGCAAGACCGUGAUUGCCAUCGAGGAAUCCGGCGACCCUGACACCGCUAAGAAGGCCAAGGUUGACGACCCUAGCAAGGAGAUUGCCGGGUGUAAUGCCUGCCGGGCCUUGGUGGCUGCCGACAAGUCAGAGGGCUCCAACAAGCAGUAUUGCAAGAUUCACCGUACCAAGGGCCACGACCUCCAAAUCUGCCGCCAAGUUGAGCAGCUGAUGGAGAAGCAGAGGGUUGAGUACGAGAGACGAGACAAAGAGAAGGGCCAAGGUGGCGCUGAGAGAUCCGGCAAGAUGCGUGGCGGCCGAGGACGUCGCGGCGACAAGGAGAAGCAACAAGAGAGGCCCGCCCAGGGCCGCAACAAGAAAGAGGAGGAUGACGAUGAUGAUGAUGAUGACGAUUCCACCGAGCAUGAGUUUCAGAAGGAGACAGAGGUCAUGUGUGUUGAUGGAGGUGCAUCAUUGCAUUCCUCUCACCGCCAACUUAAAUAG